GUCUACGUCACCAAGUUCAUUCAUGUUUGGAAUGAUUGCGUCAGUUUUCUCCUCGGGUGGUUUAGGAUGCUGGAACAUCCGAUAGAGCAGGUAUUCCCAACCUGGGAGUACGACAAAUAAAAAUGUGAUUCACAUUUUAAAAAUGUUUUUAUUUAUUUUUUAUUAAUGCUUCUCAUUUUCAAACAGUCCAUUUAUAUUUUCCAACGGGACGAUACAUUUGGCAUUGCGUUGCAGAGACAGUUGCUGUGGUUCGGUGUGGUGCAGACGUUGGAUUUAUGGAACGAAUGCGUCAAGCUGAAUGCGUUGAGGGCUUGACAGAAAUGGCAUCAGAAGGAGGACGGUCUUGAACUCUCCGAUGGCCUUGUAAGUCCUGUUGGUGUCCAGCUGCCAAAAGAGGGAAUGAAUGGUCAACAACAUAUCAUAAACACACUCUACUAUUGGAUACUACAGCCAUAGGAGAUGGAACUGAUUGGAUACUACAGCCAUAGGAGAUGGAACUGAUUGGAUACUACAGCCAUAGGGGAUGGAACUGAUUGGUUACUACAGCCAUAGGAGAUGGAACUGAUUGGUUACUACAGCCAUAGGGGAUGGAACUGAUUGGUUACUACAGCCAUAGGGGAUGGAACUGAUUGGAUACUACAGCCAUAGGAGAUGGAACUGAUUGGAUACUACAGCCAUAGGGGAUGGAACUGAUUGGAUACUACAGCCAUAGGAGAUGGAACUGAUUGGUUACUACAGCCAUAGGAGAUGGAACUGAUUGGAUACUACAGCCAUAGGAGAUGGAACUGAUUGGUUACUACAGCCAUAGGGGAUGGAACUGAUUGGAUACUACAGCCAUAGGGGAUGGAACUGAUUGGAUACUACAGCCAUAGGAGAUGGAACUGAUUGGAUACUACAGCCAUAGGAGAUGGAACUGAUUGGUUACUACAGCCAUAGGAGAUGGAACUGAUUGGUUACUACAGCCAUAGGAGAUGGAACUGAUUGGAUACUACAGCCAUAGGGGAUGGAACUGAUUGGAUACUACAGCCAUAGGGGAUGGAACUGAUUGGAUACUACAGCCAUAGGAGAUGGAACUGAUUGGUUACUACAGCCAUAGGGGAUGGAACUGAUUGGAUACUACAACCAUAGGAGAUGGAACUGAUUGGAUACUACAACCAUAGGGGAUGGAACUGAUUGGAUACUACAGCCAUAGGAGAUGGAACUGAUUGGAUACUACAGCCAUAGGGGAUGGAACUGAUUGGAUACUACAGCCAUAGGGGAUGGAACUGAUUGUGAAUGCACACAGGUGCAGAUAAGAGGUCAAGCUCAGGUAAAUGUCAACAGUUGAGGAAUCAUUAAAACAGGUCAAUUAGAUCUAGAGAUUAGUUUUGUUUUGAGCUGUGUGCCUUUGCCAUAAAGCACCAUGUUGAGAUGUGUAAG
Molecule: long non-coding RNA, 1419 nt
Filed under: Salmo salar (Atlantic salmon)
Lineage: Eukaryota; Metazoa; Chordata; Actinopteri; Salmoniformes; Salmonidae
Description: lncRNA (ENSSSAG00000112240.1)
Source: RNAcentral